UAGGGAAUUCGGGCUGUGUUUAGCUGCUGGGAUAUCGUAGAAUUGGUUUUCAGAGAAGUUCCUCGACUCCUGAGGCGAAACAUAAAGGGAUGGGAGUGGUGUGGGAAGUGAUCGUGUGGGGAAAAAAAAGUUUCGAGGCCGUUUCGCAUUUGUGGAGACACAGUUUUUGGUGUGACCACUCUUUUGUGGGAAACCCAAACCAAGGAGAACUCAGGAGAAUUGGCGCUCUUCGGUCCUGGAGGUUCCGCAGCUAACAUCCCGGCUUGACCAACUAUCGAGGCCGCAAAUUAAUAGGGCACCUCCUGGGAGGAAAACGCCCAUCCUGACUUCUCAACUGUGACAGUUUGAUCUGUCGCCCAGGAUGGAGUGCAGUGCAGUGGCGCGAUCCUGC
RNAcentral lists this long non-coding RNA (391 nucleotides) under Pan troglodytes (chimpanzee). RNAcentral describes it as "long non-coding RNA NONPTRT013307". The record is from RNAcentral. Lineage: Eukaryota; Metazoa; Chordata; Mammalia; Primates; Hominidae.